Long non-coding RNA from Dromiciops gliroides (monito del monte), 947 nucleotides. RefSeq lists it as uncharacterized. NCBI's taxonomy places the organism in Eukaryota, Metazoa, Chordata, Mammalia, Microbiotheria, Microbiotheriidae. The record is from RefSeq and is a predicted model, not a curated record. The transcript is spliced from 4 exons.
AUUACAGAGAGGAAGCCUGAGAUAAAGACAUCCUUUUCAGCACUCAGGAGAAUCCAUUGAUUGAGGUGAAGAGGUUGCUAUUGAAAAUUCCUUUCAUCUGAAUCAGUCUUCUUGCAUUUAUCAACCUGAAAAAUGAGUAAAAGCUAUAGAUGGAAACACCCUGCAAUGACUGUGCAUGACGCAGGGGGGCUGAAAAACUUUUGGGAGAAAAAAAUUGAAUGCCAUGCAAAGCAAGUGCAAAAUGAAAACUCUCGAAUAAGCAAGAGUGCCCUGAAUAAACUCCGCUGUGAAUGGACUCAGAGACUGGAAAGGAGAAUCAAGAUGCUACAACAGCCCUAGGAAGUGCCCAAGAAGUCAUCCCUACUCCCAAUCAUAUCUUUCCACCUUGUCGAUAAAAUGGUCGCCUAAAGUCAUAAAUAAAAUGGUAAUAGGAAAAGCACUGUUUCAUAGGGAGUGAAAACCCCCUUAAGAGAUUCCUGUGGAGCAGUGAAAAGAUGUAGCCCAACCCGAAUGCUGGGCAGGAAUUUUAAAGUAUUAAUUUGAGAUGUAUAUGUGUCAUGCAGGAAUAUAUUCGAUAUGGAAAUUGUGGCUAUGUUUCAUUGUUGCAUUCAGAUCACAGUAGAAUCCUUUCAGAAAAUUACUUUUCAUGAUAUAGAUUUAACUGUUCUACAGAUCAGAUUCUGUCUCCCCCAACUUAAGUACUGUAACUGAAAGAAAGCCAGGACCAGAGUCUGGGACACCUGAGUUCAAGUCUUUCAAAUGACACAACUGGUUUUGUGACCUUUUAACCUCUCAAGGUCCUCUGGUAAUUCUCUAAGAUUAGAAAUCAUAUUUGAGUUUCUUAUUCAAAUUGGCUUAGGGAGUUUCCAAAUUAGAAGUUCUCCAUACCCAUUAGGGGUGUGGAGUAGAAUAAUCUCAUCCCACUGCCCCCACCUGUUUCCACCAUC